ACACGUAUGUGUUUAUGUUUACGCUCAUAUGCUUACCGUGACUGUUAUUACAGAUUGUAUAUUUUCUAAUAAACGUGAAAAAUAAAAUUAUUAUUUUAGAUUCAGAGCGUAACGAGGAAUGUAUUGGUUUUACAAUGAUAUUUUUAUUAUUAUUAUUUUUUUUUUUUUUUUAGAUUCUGCGAACAGUUUUUCUAUCAAAAAUUCUGCUCUGAUGUAUCGAGUGUAGC
This is a non-coding RNA of Cinara cedri, 227 nucleotides long. The record is from the annotation of a GenBank genome assembly. NCBI's taxonomy places the organism in Eukaryota, Metazoa, Arthropoda, Insecta, Hemiptera, Aphididae.